This 376-nucleotide ribosomal RNA is filed under the name uncultured bacterium. RNAcentral's name for it is "partial 16S ribosomal RNA". The record is from RNAcentral.
CUCAACACCUUGAGCCGGUCUCGUUUUAACACGCCUAACACAUGCAAGUCGAACAGGCAGCACAGAGAGAGCUUGCUCUCUAGGGUAGGCGACGUGGCAGAGACGUGGUAGAGAGAAUACAUCGGAAUCUACUCUAGUCAGUAGAGAGAGAGACUAACAGUAAGUAGAGAAACUUUACGCCUAAAUUACCAGGCAUUACAGACCUACAGAGAGUUGACAAAAGCAAGAGGAGAUUCUUCUGAGAACCUUUGCAGCAGAAUUUUAGAAUUUGAAAGCCCAUGAAAUUAGGUUACCAGAGAAACAUUUAUAACAUGCCUAAAAGAUUUCUNGAGGACUAGGAGAUGAGGCUUAACAAAAGUAGGCCCCCCAACCCNAA